CCACCCCGCCCCCUGCGGGGCUUCUCCCAUGACCAGCCCCUGAGCGCUGGGCGUCCGAGCAGCCUCCCUUCCCUCCUCAGCGCCUCCGUCUGCUCUCGUUCCUCUGCUCCUCUCCUUCCUCACUGUAGGUCUCAUGCUUCCUGCCUCGCCCCCUCCCUCUCUCUCCCCCCAUCCCCGUGUCUGUCCCUCUUUGUCUUCCUCUGAGACAGUUUGUGUCACUUCACCAGCAGCUUGAACAGGGCCCGAGCAGGGGGGUGCGGCCUGCCCUUGUUCCACGGUCACCUUCUCCCGUCUUCACAGCCGAGGACCCCAAAAAAAACACUAAGCGCUCUGGGCCUGGCUUCCUGGGGAAGCCAAGCAGCCCUGAGUUGACUGCAGAGCAACCCCUCGUACCCGGGUCCCUGGCAGGGGCCGCCUCCCCAAGAUGGUCACUGCCCUGCUGAGGCCGCGGCUGCCCCCCGAUACCUGCCAUCCUCCUGGUCUUUUCACUGAGCUUCCAGGCCAGCGUCACUGACGGCCCCCUGUGCUGGCCGCUGGGGUACACUCCUCCAGCCUGGAUAGAGGUGGCGUUCCCUCCGGGUGGGGGUCCCCACACCUCCACUGAAGAGAAGCGAGAUCCACGGGAGGCGGAUGUUGAUGGGGUGGGUCCCCCACCAGCACCCCAGCUCUCCCCCCCACCCCACCCCCCGCCGGGGCCUGGCUGCACACCCGCCUGUGCCCGCAGGAGGCGGCCCUGCUCCAGCCCAGCUGCAGCUCCUGCCCACACACUCCCCCCAGCAUACACCCCAAGAGCACUGAACUCACUUUACCUGGGGCCUCCUCGCCCCUCUCCCUCACCUGGAGGCAAGUGAGGGCCCAGAGGGGCCAGGGAUGGCCGCAGAGCUUCGCCCCAGUUCCCUGGGCUGGGCCAGAUCUCUGGGUGGGCGGGCGGUGUGGUCCUGCGAACCCAGCCCAGCACCUGUUCACAGAUCCUGCACAUCUGUGACCCCCAUUUGUUGCAACAGCUCUGCUGAGCUCCCCUUUCUUUGUAUUUGGCCCAGCCGGCCGCCUGGAACUCUCCCUGCACCGCCUUGGGUGACCAGGACCUCCAGGCCCAGCCCCGCUCCUUGCCCUGUCUGUCCCCCCAGUGAUGAGCACUUGCCACCUCCACCUCGGGAUGGGGCCCAGCUUGGAGGCUGGCCCAGUGGAGAGCAGAGCCUGCCCAGGCUGCCUUUCCAGAGGGAAGUGGACCUGGAGAGCGGCACCAUCUUCACAAAGGUUCAGGAUAAAUGAGUCCAAAGUUUAGACUAAAAAAGAAGAAAGCAACCAUGAGAGAAUUAGAAGAUACUGUCUUCUGAAACCUGUAAAGGUUUAUUUUUAAAUAAAGGAAGAAAUGGGGCCCCAGGCUGGUAAUAUCCCUGGGGAGCCUGGAAGACGCAGACACAAAACUUUUCUGAAGGACAAACACAGGCAGUAUAGAACUUCCACAAAAUGAUAAACGGGAAGAAGCAACCUGCAUGAAAAUGAACAGGACAACCAGUGAAAUUAGAGCCCCAGGACAUCAAGAAAUACAGCUGUUGGUUACAGUAUAGGAAACAGGGUUUUUUUUGUUUUUUGUUUGUUUUACUUUGCCUGCGGUGGGUCUUAGUUGUGGCUUGUGGGAUCUUGUUCCCUGACCAGGGAUUGAACCUGUGUUCCCUGCAUUGGGAGGGCUGAGUCUUACCCACUGGACCACCAGGGGAGCCCCCAAAUAAGUUUUAUAUCAUUUAAAAAUAUAUAAAGAUUUGAAAAUUAUACACAAGAUACAGUUUGCCUUUUAAGGGAAAAAAAUGAUAAACAUUUUUAAAGAAAUACUUGGAACUUCCAGAGAAAGAAACUCAGUUAAAAACAUCAGACACAGCCAAAGAGAUCAUUUUUUGCACCUCAAAAAAAGAUCUAUAGAAAUCAUUAAAAAAUAAAAAAAGCACAGGAAAACCAAAAAUACGGAAAGGAAGAAUAACAAUACAAAUUCUCAAAUACUGCAGAAGGGAGUAGAAGUUGAUAAAAUCAACUUGAAAAACAAUUUGGCAAAACGUCAUAACGUUAACAUACACCCAUGGAAGCUGUGAGGUGUCACCCAGGCUCCACCCUCAGAAUCUCUGAGGUCCUUGACUGCCUGGCUCAUAGCUGAGUUCCAUCCCUGAGGUCCUUGACUGCCUGGCUCAUAGCUGAGUUCCAUCCCUGAGGUCCAUGACUGCCUGGCUCAUAGCUGAGUCCCUCAGGAAGUGGCCUGUAGUGAAGGGAGCCUCCUUGCCCAGGAUGAGAACAUCUCCUCAGGAGCAGCCCGUAGCCCACGUGUAGGCCAGUGCAAGCCCCACUGCCUCAAUUUGAGACGACGCAAAGAAUCGUCCCAGCUCCUAAGUGGAAGCUUCUGUCAUAACUACAUCAUGGUUUAACUUCUCUCUCUACCCAGUCCUGCCUCUUCACAAAGGUUCAGGAUAAAUGAGUCCAAAGUUUAGACUAAAAAGAAGAAAGCAACCAUGAGAGAAUUAGAAGAUACUGUCUUCUGAAACCUGUAAAGGUUUAUUUUUAAAUAAAGGAAGAAAUGGGGCCCCAGGCUGGUAAUAUCCCUGGGGAGCCUGGAAGACGCAGACACAAAACUUUUCUGAAGGACAAACACAGGCAGUAUAGAACUUCCACAAAAUGAUAAACGGAAGAAGCAACCUGCAUGAAAAUGAACAGGACAACCAGUGAAAUUAGAGCCCCAGGACAUCAAGAAAUACAGCUGUUGGUUACAGUAUAGGAAACAGGGUUUUUUUUGUUUUUUGUUUGUUUUACUUUGCCUGCGGUGGGUCUUAGUUGUGGCUUGUGGGAUCUUGUUCCCUGACCAGGGAUUGAACCUGUGUUCCCUGCAUUGGGAGGGCUGAGUCUUACCCACUGGACCACCAGGGGAGCCCCCAAAUAAGUUUUAUAUCAUUUAAAAAUAUAUAAAGAUUUGAAAAUUAUACACAAGAUACAGUUUGCCUUUUAAGGGAAAAAAAUGAUAAACAUUUUUAAAGAAAUACUUGGAACUUCCAGAGAAAGAAACUCAGUUAAAAACAUCAGACACAGCCAAAGAGAUCAUUUUUUGCACCUCAAAAAAAGAUCUAUAGAAAUCAUUAAAAAAUAAAAAAAGCACAGGAAAACCAAAAAUACGGAAAGGAAGAAUAACAAUACAAAUUCUCAAAUACUGCAGAAGGAGUAGAAGUUGAU
Molecule: long non-coding RNA, 3210 nt
Organism: Bos grunniens (domestic yak)
Lineage: Eukaryota; Metazoa; Chordata; Mammalia; Artiodactyla; Bovidae
Source: Ensembl